This is a long non-coding RNA of Malus domestica (apple), 932 nucleotides long. RefSeq lists it as uncharacterized. NCBI's taxonomy places the organism in Eukaryota, Viridiplantae, Streptophyta, Magnoliopsida, Rosales, Rosaceae. The record is from RefSeq and is a predicted model, not a curated record.
GCUAGUAGCAUUAUGGAAAUGAAAUACCCUUCUGAACUUCUUCCCUCGGAUUCGAAGCUCUCAACUCCUUUUGUUCCCUUCUCUCUAAAAAAAAAACAAACUUAUUGAAAAAAAAGAAGGAAAAAACAAAACCAGAGUUAUUAGGCCCAACGACGAAUCGGCAAGGCACUGUGUGCAAUCGUUAGUUGGAAUUUAAGUACGAAUCUCUCUUUUCAUAUUAUCAUCUCCUUUCUUCUCAUUCUCUCACACUUUUCUCUUUGUUUUUUUCUCUAUACAAAAAGUUCAAAACAAAAUGUUAACGUGACUUAAUAGUAACCGUUUAAAAUUUCUCUUGACCACCAUUUUAGGCGCCGAUUCUAGCUUCGGUUAGAGUCGGUUGCCACUUUUUCUUUUCCUUUGUUUUCUCCUUUUUUUCCCUUCUUUGCUGCUUUUUCCCCCUCAUCCUCAUCUUGAUUUGCCCUCUUCUUCUUCCCUUGUUGUCAUCCCUCUUCCUCCUUCAUCUGCGUUUCGAUCUUUAGCCACACUUGCGUUCGAGUUGGUGCUAUGAGUUUCGGUGUUUCGAUCGACUCAGGGAGCAGAUCAGUGCUGGAUGAUACGAUCAAAGAGGUGAUGUUUAGCGGUGGGCAUGGAUUUCUGCAGGUUGAGAUGCACUGUCUUGGAGGAGGCGGUAGUAGCGGACUUCUUGACUUUUGUUUGUUUUUUCUGUUUUUGGGUCUUAGCUGUUUGGUUGGGCUUUUUGUUAGUUUAGGGUUUGGCCCGUGUUUUUCUAUUUUCCAGUUAUAGUCCUUUUUGGGUAGUAGCGGACUUCUCGGCUUUUGUUUGUUUUUUCUGUUUUUGGGUCUUAGCUGUUUGGUUGGACUUCUCGGCUUGUGUUGUGUGUUUAAUAAAAUUUCCUGGUGAUCUUUUUGGAUCCCACUUGACCAAAAAAAAUA